Molecule: ribosomal RNA, 2073 nt
Filed under: Candidatus Poribacteria bacterium
Lineage: Bacteria; Candidatus Poribacteria
Description: bacterial LSU rRNA
Rfam family: Bacterial large subunit ribosomal RNA
Source: RNAcentral
AGUAUCUUGUUUGGUCAAGCAAGCAAGGGCAAACGGUGGAUGCCUUGGCGCCAGGAGGCGAUGAAGGACGUGGCUAGCUGCGAAAAGCCUCGGGGAGCUGCUAAGCAAGCUUUGAUCCGGGGAUUUCCGAAUGGGGAAACCCGUCCGGGGUCAUGCCCGGUCAUCCGGCUCUGAAUUCAUAGGAGCCGGAGGCAAACCCGGGGAACUGAAACAUCUCAGUACCCGGUGGAAUGGAAAUCAACUGAGACUCCCCUAGUAGCGGCGAGCGAACGGGGACCAUGCCUAAACCGGUGGGAAGCAAUUCCUACCGGGGUUGUGGGACUCCAACAUGGGAUCUGGAAGGGUAGGAGAACGGUCUGGAAAGGCCGGCCAGAGAGGGUGACAGCCCUGUAUCCGAAACCUCGAAGGACCCUAGGAGAUUCCCGAGUACCACGGGGCACGUGAAGCCCUGUGGGAAUCUGGGUGGACCAUCAUCCAAGGCUAAGUACUACCUGGCGACCGAUAGUGAACCAGUACCGUGAGGGAAAGGCGAAAAGAACCCCGGCGAGGGGAGUGAAAUAGACCCUGAAACCGUUUGCCUACAUUCAGUAGGAGCUCUAUGGCCGAUCUUCGGAUCGGCAACGAGUGACUGCGUACCUUUUGUUUAAUGGGUCCGCGAGUUACUCCUCGGCAGCAAGGUUAAGCCGUGAGGUGUAGCCGUAGCGAAAGCAAGUCUGAACAGGGCGUUCAGUUGCCGGGGGUAGACCCGAAACCGAGUGAUCUAUCCAUGGCCAGGUUGAAGCUCGGGUAAGACCGAGUGGAGGACCGAACCGUAGAAGGUUGAAAACUUCCCGGAUGAGCUGUGGAUAGGGGUGAAAGGCCAAUCAAACUCGGAGAUAGCUGGUUCUCCCCGAAAUAUAUUGAGGUAUAGCCUUGCGUAUCACCACCGGAGGUAGAGCACUGGAUGGGCUAGGGGUCCUACCAGAUUACCGAACCCAACCAAACUCCGAAUACCGGUGAGUGCAGCGUGGGAGUCAGACUGCGGGCGAUAAGGUUCGUGGUCGAGAGGGAAACAGCCCAGACCGCCAGCUAAGGUCCCGAAAUCCGUGCUAAGUGGGAAAGGAUGUGGGAGCGCUUAGACAGCCAGGAGGUUGGCUUAGAAGCAGCCACCCUUUAAAAAGUGCGUAAUAGCUUACUGGUCUAGUGAGCCUGCGCCGAAAAUGUAACGGGGCUUAAGCACGGUACCGAAGCUGCGGGAUUACAAUGCCUUCGGGCAUUGCAAUCGGUAGGGGAGCGUUCCAGUAGCCUGUGAAGCUCGACGGAAACGACGAGUGGAGGUCCUGGAAGUGCUUAUGCGGACAUGAGUAGCGAUAAACAGGGUGAGAAACCCUGUCGCCGUAAGCCUGAGGGUUCCUGAGUAAAGCUAAUCUGCUCAGGGUUAGUCGGCCCCUAAGCCGAGGGCGAAAGCCGUAGGCGAUGGGAAACGGGUUAAUAUUCCCGUACCACUAGAUGGACGUUUGACCGAAGGGGGGACGGAGAAGGGUAGCCGGGCCGGGUGCUGGACAUCCCGGUUCAAGUCUGUAGGCGGGUGGCGCAGGUAAAUCCACGCCGCCAUUCAACGCCGAGAGGCGAUGUCGAGAGCCGUAAGGCUCACAAAGUCGGUGAUCCCAUGCUUCCGAGAAAAGCCUCGUAGGGAGUUCGUCUGGUGACCGUACCGUAAACCGACACAGGUAGGUGGGCAGAGCAUGCCAAGGCGCUUGGGAGAACCCUGGUUAAGGAACUCGGCAAAUUGACACCGUAACUUCGGGAGAAGGUGUGCCUCUGCUGGUGAAGGACUUCGCGUCUCUAGCUGGUGGGGGUUGCAGAGAGCAGGGGGUAGCGACUGUUUACUAAAAACAUAGGACUCUGCGAAGUCGUCAAGACGACGUAUAGGGUCUGACGCCUGCCCGGUGCCGGAAGGUUAAGGGAACCUGUCAGGACUUCGGUCCGAAGCAGUGAACCGAAGCCCCGGUAAACGGCGGCCGUAACUAUAACGGUCCUAAGGUAGCGAAAUUCCUUGUCGGGUAAGUUCCGACCUGCACGAAUGGCGUAACG